UGAGGAAUCUUGCGCAAUGGGGGAAACCCUGACGCAGCAACGCCGCGUGAGUGAGGAAGGUCUUCGGAUCGUAAAGCUCUGUCAGUUGGAAAGAAAUGUCUGAGAGUCAAUCCCUUUCAGGCUUGACGGUACCAACAGAGGAAGCACCGGCUAACUCCGUGCCAGCAGCCGCGGUAAUACGGGGGGUGCAAGCGUUGUUCGGAAUUAUUGGGCGUAAAGAGCGUGUAGGCGGCCGGAUAUGUCAGAUGUGAAAGCCCCGGGCUUAACCCGGGAAGUGCAUUUGAAACUGUCCGGCUCGAGUAGGGGAGGGGGAAGUGGAAUUCCUGGUGUAGAGGUGAAAUUCGUAGAUAUCAGGAGGAACACCGGUGGCGAAGGCGACUUCCCGGCCCUAUACUGACGCUGAGACGCGAGAGCGUGGGUAGCAAACAG
This 429-nucleotide ribosomal RNA is filed under the name uncultured bacterium. Its description in RNAcentral is "bacterial SSU rRNA". It matches the Rfam family "Bacterial small subunit ribosomal RNA", at positions 355 to 775 of the family's 1533-position model. The record is from RNAcentral.